GAUGAACGCUGGCGGCGUGCCUAAUACAUGCAAGUCGAGCGAACAGAUAAGGAGCUUGCUCCUUUGACGUUAGCGGCGGACGGGUGAGUAACACGUGGAUAACCUACCUAUAAGACUGGGAUAACUUCGGGAAACCGGAGCUAAUACCGGAUAACAUAUUGAACCGCAUGGUUCAAUAGUGAAAGGCGGCUUUGCUGUCACUUAUAGAUGGAUCCGCGCCGUAUUAGCUAGUUGGUAAGGUAACGGCUUACCAAGGCAACGAUACGUAGCCGACCUGAGAGGGUGAUCGGCCACACUGGAACUGAGACACGGUCCAGACUCCUACGGGAGGCAGCAGUAGGGAAUCUUCCGCAAUGGGCGAAAACCUGACGGAGCAACGCCGCGUGAGUGAUGAAGGUCUUCGGAUCGUAAAACUCUGUUAUCAGGGAAGAACAAAUGUGUAAGUAACUGUGCACAUCUUGACGGUACCUGAUCAGAAAGCCACGGCUAACUACGUG
This 497-nucleotide ribosomal RNA is filed under the name uncultured bacterium. RNAcentral's name for it is "partial 16S ribosomal RNA". It matches the Rfam family "Bacterial small subunit ribosomal RNA", at positions 28 to 507 of the family's 1533-position model. The record is from RNAcentral.